Molecule: long non-coding RNA, 185 nt
Organism: Mugil cephalus (flathead mullet)
Lineage: Eukaryota; Metazoa; Chordata; Actinopteri; Mugiliformes; Mugilidae
Exons: 2
Source: RefSeq, a predicted model, not a curated record
CUGAGCUGAGUAGAGGGUUCCAGUCAGUCCAUGCUGCUUUCAUCAGUAUCGUCCUAAACACAGUGGUACUGAUUAUAAAUAGGAGGAUGAGCUGUGUCCUGAUGAUCCAGAGGUUGAAGCAGACUCUGACUGGACCAUAUUUCUACAGUGUAACCCUGAAAUAAAUGUCUUAUUUUCACCAUUAA